GCGGUCAGAUUAAGCCAUAAGUGAAACUUGACUUAGUUAAAGCUAAGAGGGUCGGUAAAACUCGUGCCAGCCACCGCGGUUAUACGAGAGACCCAAGUUGUUAGAUAUCGGCGUAAAGAGUGGUUAAGAUUCAUACAAGACUAAAGCCGAACGCCCUCAGAGCCGUUAUACGCACCCGAAGGUAAGAAGCCCAACCACGAAAGUGGCUUUAUAUUAUCCGAACCCACGAAAGCUAUGACACAAACUGGGAUUAGAUACCCCACUAUGCCUAGCCAUAAACAUUGAUAGUAAACUACACCCACUAUCCGCCCGGGAACUACGAGCACCAGCUUGAAACCCAAAGGACUUGGCGGUGCUUUAGAUCCACCUAGAGGAGCCUGUUCUAGAACCGAUUACCCCCGUUCAACCUCACCUUUCCUUGUUUUCCCCGCCUAUAUACCACCGUCGUCAGCUUACCCUGUGAAGGACUAAUAGUAAGCAAGAUUGGCAUAGCCCAAAACGUCAGGUCGAGGUG
Molecule: ribosomal RNA, 514 nt
Filed under: Lutjanus decussatus
Lineage: Eukaryota; Metazoa; Chordata; Actinopteri; Lutjaniformes; Lutjanidae
Description: partial 12S ribosomal RNA
Rfam family: Bacterial small subunit ribosomal RNA
Source: RNAcentral